AACAAAUUUUAGUCAGGUCUUCUAAAUCUGUUCUGGGGCUACCCGUUUGUUUU
This 53-nucleotide transfer RNA is filed under the name Anisakis simplex (herring worm). Its description in RNAcentral is "tRNA-Ser". The record is from RNAcentral. Lineage: Eukaryota; Metazoa; Nematoda; Chromadorea; Rhabditida; Anisakidae.